Long non-coding RNA from Stegodyphus dumicola, 494 nucleotides. NCBI's taxonomy places the organism in Eukaryota, Metazoa, Arthropoda, Arachnida, Araneae, Eresidae. The record is from RefSeq and is a predicted model, not a curated record.
UAUCAUACGAAGUAACAAAAGAAGAAGCAAAACAGAUACAGAGGAAGAAAGGUGUAGCACCGAAAAAGGAAACAGGUCUUACUUUCGUCACUAUUUCCUUCCAAAAGAUGGAACAAACAGUUUACUCCUACACACCAAAGUAUAAUAUCGUUGAAAUUUUCAGUUACAUGGGUGGAUACAUCGGCAUCUGGCUUGGAAUUUCCCUAGUAGCUCUUUUUGAAUUUCUGGAAACAACCAUUGCACUUCUCAAGUAUCCCUUCCGAAAGAGACGUCGUCGACUCAAUCCAAAACAUGCGUAGAUCAAUGAUUCCAGAAACAGUUAUAGAAAUGAGACUAAGACUGUGAACAAAAUUGUAUAGCUUUCAUUGUGUUAUCUAAUAAGCCCUAAAUUAAGUUCUUCCCAGUUCGAAAUAUGAAACUUGAGUCCUAAUAAAAACAUCGUUCCAACCUUACUUAAUUUGUACCGCUAUCAACUAAUUGCAUAUGCAGUUUAA